This is a long non-coding RNA of Paramacrobiotus metropolitanus, 800 nucleotides long. RefSeq lists it as uncharacterized. The record is from RefSeq and is a predicted model, not a curated record. The transcript is spliced from 3 exons. NCBI's taxonomy places the organism in Eukaryota, Metazoa, Tardigrada, Eutardigrada, Parachela, Macrobiotidae.
GGAUAAACUACUUCUGUUGUGAUACUGACAUUCCCUGUUUGGUUACCUCAUAUUUUUCUGUACUGAUUUGUAUUCUGAAGACUAAAAACACACAGCUAUUUUGAAUGAUUACAUUUACUUUUAAAUACUGUAAAAUGCAAACUUUACAAUGUUCUUGAGUUUGUUGCCUACUUGUGCCACGAUCCGUUUCGUACGACACUUCAGCACAAUAACUUGAGCCAGGGCAGGUUGUCUUGACAUAAGCGCUCAAGUUCCUGGUCUCGUACCAUGAAGGGCAUACCAGCUUUGGUUGUUCAGGAGAAUACUCUCUGCAUUCAUAACAGAUAUUUAUGACGCAGAUCGUUUCCGCAUUUGGACCUAUUUCACACAUUCCAGAGAGCAGUAUAAUGUUACAGCACUGACUUUAGCCUCUAGCUAUAUUUUUGCUGAAGCGGAUGCGUAAACCAUUGGAAGAGUUACAUAUGAAAAGGUAUGAAGGAAUCGGGAUUGUGUUAGUCGCAUCUUACACCUCUGUGUCAGCCGACUCCAUCACGCACGUGCUAAUUUUUUUAGAAUUUCGUCGUAAAUUUUUUACUUUGUUAUCAUGUAUCUGUAAGCUGUUCCUCGAUACAUUUAAUUUGUUUGCGCUUUCUGCCCCGUGAGUUGCAAUAAUUGUUGGAAAUUGGUUUGGUUGCAAUGUAGAUCAUGGAACUUUUGCUCUGUCGGGUUGCGCGGACAGCUUAUGUAUACCACAGUAAAUGUUUCCCUGUCGAUUCUACAGUUUGAGCAUCAGUUCUCCCUCGGCACAAGUUCGAUCUUGC